RNAcentral lists this ribosomal RNA (403 nucleotides) under bacterium. RNAcentral's name for it is "partial 16S ribosomal RNA". It matches the Rfam family "Bacterial small subunit ribosomal RNA", at positions 355 to 776 of the family's 1533-position model. RNAcentral also lists the same sequence under 2 other names. The record is from RNAcentral.
UGGGGAAUAUUGCACAAUGGAGGGAACUCUGAUGCAGCGACGCCGCGUGAACGAAGAAGGCUUUCGAGUCGUAAAGUUCUUUUAUAUGGGAAGAUAAUGACGGUACCAUAAGAAAAAGCCCCGGCUAACUACGUGCCAGCAGCCGCGGUAAUACGUAGGGGGCUAGCGUUGUCCGGAAUCACUGGGCGUAAAGGGUUCGCAGGCGGAAAUGCAAGUCAGGUGUAAAAGGCAGUAGCUUAACUACUGUAAGCAUUUGAAACUGCAUAUCUUGAGAAGAGUAGAGGUAAGUGGAAUGUUUAGUGUAGCGGUGAAAUGCGUAGAUAUUAAAAAGAAUACCGGUGGCGAAGGCGACUUACUGGGCUCAUUCUGACGCUGAGGAACGAAAGCGUGGGUAGCAAACAGG